This is a long non-coding RNA of Cyprinus carpio carpio, 1535 nucleotides long. Lineage: Eukaryota; Metazoa; Chordata; Actinopteri; Cypriniformes; Cyprinidae. The record is from Ensembl.
AUGUUCCUAAUUGUUCAUUUGUCAGUCUUCAGCUUUUCUGCAGGCAGCAUGCUGCAUUUUUUUUUUUCAGAUGUCCUCUUCUGCACUCCUUACAUACAUGGGAAGACUAUGAGAGUUUUUACACAGUGUGUGCUGAGUAGGUACACCCAGUACAGAGUGAGCAGGAUGGGAGGGACUGAUUUCCAGGUACAGUAUGUCAAAAUUAUGUGACACACUAUACCACAAUAACAUGGAAGAUAAAACAUAAAGAUGUCUAAUUUAAUAUAUAUUUAUAUAUAUAUAUAUAUAUAUAUAAUGAAAUAAUACAAUUUGGGUGUAUGUUUGUGUGCAUAUCUGCUAUAAUUGUAAUAGGGAUGUAUUAAAAUAGUUUUACACAAUCAGAUCUUGGGAAAUUAACUUACAUAAUCAUACAACCUAAUUUAGGUGUCUUUCACACCCAUAAUCAAAUUCCCUACACCCAUCUGCAGGUUUCAUCUGUUCAUCAUUACUUUAUAAGUACCCUCUGCCCUAACUUAUUUGCUUCAUACAAACUUCAUUAAAUGCAAUAUCAAAAUUUUAACGGCAUCGGUUACUGUGUUUAUUUAAUUUCCUUUUGUAAAGGUUCUGAUGUGUUUCUGAGGGGACAGUCUCCAUGCUAAUUGUAUUUGUUGUUGUUUGUGGUUCACUCUGGGUUACGAGGGUUACGGUGAGUAUAACAGGUGAGAGAUUUCACGUGCCUUGGUCGCUGGCAUUAGGUGAUCCUGUGCUACUGUUGCCUGGUGUGUCAUUUUACAGAUCGCUGUGAAUGUGUUUGGGUCGCAGUGGUUCCUAUGGGAUCAGUUUACUAAACACUUGAACUUUUUUUUAUUAUGUAUCAAUUAAGACAGACUGAAGGACAAAUUAAGCGUGUGUGAGUGUUGGUGUUUUUAUUUCUUUUUACAAGAAUAAGUUGACUUAGACCUGAAUCUGAUACAGGACUCUGAAUUCUUGUCAUUGUUUAGUCUAAUUCAAUAUAAUUUGCUGUGUCUUCAGAGGACAUAAGGGACAAGUUAUUGGAUUAGAAGUACGUGCUCAACCAAGAGUUAAUUGAUUAGAUUGUGACAAAAAUGAAUUGUGUUGUGUAACUUCAAUGCAAUCUCUCUGGGUGUCUUGCUAGGAAAGUCUAAAUAUGAAGGACACUAUGUUUAUAAAUAGCAGAAAACACUGGGACAGCUAAAGCGGAAAUAAAGAGUGGGCUUGGACCCUUGUGACAACUGUUACUCAGCCUCACAAAAACAUAAUGUGAGCUGCUUGUGUAUCUCUGUGGAGUCAGUUCUCAGUAGUGAGUGAUAAAUGUCACAGUUGAUGCCACACUGGAGCUUUGUGACCUCUUGAACACAAAUAAACACACACGCGCGCACACACAGUGUGUGCCUCAUCUGAAGAGCUGCUUCAGGAGAGAGAUCUCACAGUACUGUUCAACUUUAUACAGUACAAACAGUACAUGAGAUCUUGGGGGAACUAAAGUAUUGUACAGUACAACAUUAAAAUCAAACAGAGAGACAGACAGAUAUAUA